ACGGAGGAUGCAAGCGUUAUCCGGAUUUAUUGGGUUUAAAGGGUGCGCAGGUUGUUUUAUAAGUCAGUGGUGAAAGUCUGUCGCUUAACUAUAGGAUUGCCAUUGAUACUGUAGGACUUGAGUAUGGAUGAGGAAGGUGGAAUGUCUAGUGUAGCGGUGAAAUGCAUAGAUAUUACGCGGAACACCGAUUGCGAAGGCGACUUUCUGGACCGUAACUGACGCUGAGGCACGAAAGCGUGGGGAGCAAACAG
Molecule: ribosomal RNA, 251 nt
Filed under: uncultured prokaryote
Description: partial 16S rRNA
Rfam family: Bacterial small subunit ribosomal RNA
Source: RNAcentral